RNAcentral lists this ribosomal RNA (314 nucleotides) under uncultured Bacillota bacterium. RNAcentral's name for it is "bacterial SSU rRNA". It matches the Rfam family "Bacterial small subunit ribosomal RNA", at positions 28 to 351 of the family's 1533-position model. The record is from RNAcentral. Lineage: Bacteria; Bacillati; Bacillota.
GAUGAACGCUGGCGGCGUGCCUAACACAUGCAAGUCGAGCGAUUCUCUUCGGAGAAGAGCGGCGGACGGGUGAGUAACGCGUGGGUAACCUGCCCUGUACACACGGAUAACAUACCGAAAGGUAUGCUAAUACGGGAUAAUAUGAGAGAGUCGCAUGGCUUUCUUAUCAAAGCUCCGGCGGUACAGGAUGGACCCGCGUCUGAUUAGCUAGUUGGUGAGGUAAUGGCUCACCAAGGCGACGAUCAGUAGCCGACCUGAGAGGGUGAUCGGCCACAUUGGAACUGAGACACGGUCCAAACUCCUACGGGAGGCAG